UACGUAGGGGGCAAGCGUUGUCCGGAUUCAUUGGGCGUAAAGAGCGUGUAGGCGGCCAGGUAGGUCGGUUGUGAAAACUGGAGGCUCAACCUUCAGAGGUCGACCGAAACCAUCUGGCUAGAGUCCGGGAGAGGAGAGUGGAAUUCCUGGUGUAGCGGUGAAAUGCGCAGAUAUCAGGAAGAACACUCGUGGCGAAAGCGGCUCUCUGGAACGGUACUGACGCUGAGACGCGAAAGCGUGGGGAGCGAACAGG
RNAcentral lists this ribosomal RNA (253 nucleotides) under uncultured bacterium. RNAcentral's name for it is "partial 16S ribosomal RNA". It matches the Rfam family "Bacterial small subunit ribosomal RNA", at positions 524 to 776 of the family's 1533-position model. The record is from RNAcentral.